CUACCACUUCCCUGGGGAGCCUGUUCUGAAACUUAACCAGUCUUUUAGUGAAAUUUUUUUCUUAGUUGGUGCCAGAAAGCAUCUACCUGGAAACACUCAGACACUGGUAAUAGUAUAUGGAUCCUGUUGGAGAUAGAGUAUCAUACAAGUAUUGGAUGAAUAGCAAACAGCCUUGCUGCUACAUUUCAAGGCGCAGCCUGAGUCUUGGUGUGCAGAAUAUCAUCCCAUGAGGCAGUGCUGAGACAUCUUCAUCUACAGAAAAGAGUGAGCCCUGCAAAGAGGAUUUUCCAACAUUACAGCAAGGUAGGAACUCUCAGAUAUGGCCAUGCAUAGAUUGCACAGCACAAAGCUAGAUCAUCUGUUCUUUCCAAGUCCUAGAAAUUGUCUUUCCCUAAACCUCUGAUUCAUUAUUCAGCAUUAUAUUCUGGGUUUUAGUCAGCUUUAUCAUACACGGUCCAUUGUUGUUUUAAUUAACUCCAUGCAUUACCUUAACCAGCUGAGACUUAUAUUUUGCACCCAUAGCAAAGCUAAGCUUGUUCACCUACCACAUUUAUCUUAGAAGCAAGCUAGUCAUGCAGUUUUUAAGGGUUGUGUGACUAGGAAAAAAUACCAUUUCAACCAGUAAGGUAUAAAAAAAACUCUAGACCAGAGCACAAGACAGUAAAUCAAACCCAC
RNAcentral lists this long non-coding RNA (675 nucleotides) under Corvus moneduloides (New Caledonian crow). Its description in RNAcentral is "lncRNA (ENSCMUG00000010506.2)". Lineage: Eukaryota; Metazoa; Chordata; Aves; Passeriformes; Corvidae. The record is from RNAcentral.